GCUCGCCGCUUGCGUCCCCCGAGAAGGCCUUCCGGUUGUAAAGCACUUUCAGUGCGUGAGGAAGGUAGUGUAGUUAAUAGCUGCAUUAUUUGACGUUAGCGACAGAAGAAGCACCGGCUAACUCCGUGCCAGCAGCCGCGGUAAUACGGAGGGUGCGAGCGUUAAUCGGAAUUACUGGGCGUAAAGCGCAUGCAGGUGGUUUGUUAAGUCAGAUGUGAAAGCCCGGGGCUCAACCUCGGAAUAGCAUUUGAAACUGGCAGACUAGAGUACUGUAGAGGGGGGUAGAAUUUCAGGUGUAGCGGUGAAAUGCGUAGAGAUCUGAAGGAAUACCGGUGGCGAAGGCGGCCCCUGGACAGAUCUGACCUCAGAUGCGAAAGCGUGGGGAGCAAACAGGAUUAGAUACCCUGGUAGUCCACGCCGUAAACGAUGUCUACUUGGAGGUUGUGGCCUUGAGCCGUGGCUUUCGGAGCUAACGCGUUAAGUAGACCGCCUGGGGAGUACGGUCGCAAGAUUAAAACUCAAAUGAAUUGACGGGGGCCCGCACAAGCGGUGGAGCAUGUGGUUUAAUUAUGCAACGCGAAGAACCUUACCUACUCUUGACAUCCAGAGAACUUUCCAGAGAUGGAUUGGUGCCU
This 635-nucleotide ribosomal RNA is filed under the name Vibrio sp. UST991130-010. RNAcentral describes it as "bacterial SSU rRNA". It matches the Rfam family "Bacterial small subunit ribosomal RNA", at positions 391 to 1019 of the family's 1533-position model. Lineage: Bacteria; Pseudomonadati; Pseudomonadota; Gammaproteobacteria; Vibrionales; Vibrionaceae. The record is from RNAcentral.